This 253-nucleotide ribosomal RNA is filed under the name uncultured bacterium. RNAcentral's name for it is "partial 16S ribosomal RNA". It matches the Rfam family "Bacterial small subunit ribosomal RNA", at positions 524 to 776 of the family's 1533-position model. The record is from RNAcentral.
UACGUAGGGGGCAAGCGUUGUCCGGAAUGAUUGGGCGUAAAGAGCGUGUAGGCGGUUUUACAGGUCCGUUGUGAAAACUCGAGGCUCAACCUCGAGACGCCGGUGGAAACCGUAAAGCUAGAGUCCGGAAGAGGAGAGUGGAAUUCCUGGUGUAGCGGUGAAAUGCGCAGAUAUCAGGAGGAACACCCGUGGCGAAAGCGGCUCUCUGGGACGGUACUGACGCUGAGACGCGAAAGCGUGGGGAGCAAACAGG